GAGAGCAAGUUACUUGUCAAAUACCUAUUUAUCAGGCAGCAUCAUGUCAUUUUAUUAGACACAUCAUUUUAAAUUUGGUGGAGAGCAAGGUUAAGACAAGCACAGCCACUUCAAAAAUGCUUUUGAAAGUGUUAACAUCAUAUAGUGUUCUCUUAUACCAGGAAAAAGAAUAUUGCCACUCAUCUUCAAGGCUCAAGCAUCAUUACUAUUUCAAAAGGUUGUAAAGUGUAGUU
This 233-nucleotide unclassified non-coding RNA is filed under the name Hevea brasiliensis (rubber tree). The record is from RNAcentral. Lineage: Eukaryota; Viridiplantae; Streptophyta; Magnoliopsida; Malpighiales; Euphorbiaceae.